UGAGCAACCUGCCCUUGACCCUGGAAUAACAGCUGGAAACAGCUGCUAAUACCGGAUAUGACCUCCGAUGGCAUCAUCUGGAGGUGGAAAGCUCCGACGGUCAAGGAUGGGCUCGCGGCCUAUCAGCUUGUUGGUGAGGUAACGGCUCACCAAGGCUUCGACGGGUAGCCGGCCUGAGAGGGCGACCGGCCACACUGGGACUGAGAUACCGGCCCAGACCUCGUACGGGGAGG
Molecule: ribosomal RNA, 233 nt
Filed under: uncultured bacterium
Lineage: Bacteria
Description: partial 16S ribosomal RNA
Rfam family: Bacterial small subunit ribosomal RNA
Source: RNAcentral